GACGAACGCUGGCGGCGUGCCUAAUACAUGCAAGUAGAACGCUGAAGAGAGGAGCUUGCUCUUCUUGGAUGAGUUGCGAACGGGUGAGUAACGCGUAGGUAACCUGCCUUGUAGCGGGGGAUAACUAUUGGAAACGAUAGCUAAUACCGCAUAACAAUGGAUGACACAUGUCAUUUAUUUGAAAGGGGCAAUUGCUCCACUACAAGAUGGACCUGCGUUGUAUUAGCUAGUAGGUGAGGUAACGGCUCACCUAGGCGACGAUACAUAGCCGACCUGAGAGGGUGAUCGGCCACACUGGGACUGAGACACGGCCCAGACUCCUACGGGAGGCAGCAGUAGGGAAUCUUCGGCAAUGGGGGCAACCCUGACCGAGCAACGCCGCGUGAGUGAAGAGGGUUUUCGGAUCGUAAAGCUCUGUUGUAAGUCAAGAACGAGUGUGAGAGUGGAAAGUUCACACUGUGACGGUAGCUUACCAGAAAGGGACGGCUAACUACGUGCCAGCAGCCGCGGUAAUACGUAGGUCCCGAGCGUUGUCCGGAUUUAUUGGGCGUAAAGCGAGCGCAGGCGGUUUGAUAAGUCUGAAGUUAAAGGCUGUGGCUCAACCAUAGUUCGCUUUGGAAACUGUCAAACUUGAGUGCAGAAGGGGAGAGUGGAAUUCCAUGUGUAGCGGUGAAAUGCGUAGAUAUAUGGAGGAACACCGGUGGCGAAAGCGGCUCUCUGGUCUGUAACUGACGCUGAGGCUCGAAAGCGUGGGGAGCGAACAGGAUUAGAUACCCUGGUAGUCCACGCCGUAAACGAUGAGUGCUAGGUGUUGGAUCCUUUCCGGGAUUCAGUGCCGCAGCUAACGCAUUAAGCACUCCGCCUGGGGAGUACGACCGCAAGGUUGAAACUCAAAGGAAUUGACGGGGGCCCGCACAAGCGGUGGAGCAUGUGGUUUAAUUCGAAGCAACGCGAAGAACCUUACCAGGUCUUGACAUCCCGAUGCUAUUUCUAGAGAUAGAAAGUUACUUCGGUACAUCGGUGACAGGUGGUGCAUGGUUGUCGUCAGCUCGUGUCGUGAGAUGUUGGGUUAAGUCCCGCAACGAGCGCAACCCCUAUUGUUAGUUGCCAUCAUUCAGUUGGGCACUCUAGCGAGACUGCCGGUAAUAAACCGGAGGAAGGUGGGGAUGACGUCAAAUCAUCAUGCCCCUUAUGACCUGGGCUACACACGUGCUACAAUGGUUGGUACAACGAGUUGCGAGUCGGUGACGGCAAGCUAAUCUCUUAAAGCCAAUCUCAGUUCGGAUUGUAGGCUGCAACUCGCCUACAUGAAGUCGGAAUCGCUAGUAAUCGCGGAUCAGCACGCCGCGGUGAAUACGUUCCCGGGCCU
RNAcentral lists this ribosomal RNA (1369 nucleotides) under uncultured bacterium. Its description in RNAcentral is "bacterial SSU rRNA". It matches the Rfam family "Bacterial small subunit ribosomal RNA", at positions 28 to 1381 of the family's 1533-position model. The record is from RNAcentral.